UCCCUUGGUCUGGGACUAUUGAUGGCCAAGAAGGCCAGGAACGAUGUUACCUACGUCUCAAAUCUAGAAUGCCUGAAGAUUCAAAAGAAAUUUAGUGUUACAAACAGAAAUAUUCCUGGCAGCAAUCCUGCUUCAAACUUACUGGCAUUAAAAACACCAGGCUGCAGUGGAACAGUAGCAGAGGUAACAUUUCGUUGUUCAGCUGGAGAUUAGAGCAGGGUGAAAGGAGCUUUGAAACCAAACAGUCCAGGACCUCUUGCCAAGCUGCAUAGAUAGCCCUAGGCGCAUCCCUACUUUCUCUGGGCCUGCUUUCUCAUCUGGAAAAACGAGAUAAAAAUAACUACCCUGAACGUCUGCUGUGAAAAGUGAACCAUCACCAGAAGAUGCGUCAAGAACAGCACUGCACACACUGGGUGUUUCGUAUCAUUUACUGCAAUUUGUAGGAGGGACUACACAAGCUUCACCAGCAGGCUCUCACAUACCAGGAGAAGCAAAAAAAGCUGAAGGAUUAAGGACCCCAAAAGAUAUGCCUUGAGGAUGCAAGCUUAUUCUAAUAGAGAGGACUUUGCUCACUAGAGAGAGAUGAGGUGGCAACAUGAAGUGAAAAUUAGGCAGCAUCCCAGAAGAAAAGAAAGCUCUCCUCUCCAUUCACCCCAGCAUGUCUGCUUGCUCGGGCCCAGGGCUUUUCCCUCCUACAGCGGCUGCACCGGGGCCUCCUUCUACCCACCUAGCCCACCCACCCACAGUUCCAUCCUCCAGAUCAUAUAUCUUGGAAUAACACAACUACACAGAAUUGCUCAUCCACCCACCCUCUUAUACUGACCAUUACAUGUGGCUCCUGAGCACCUGACCUGUGGCUAGUCCAAACCAGGAUGGAUGUGUAAACUACACCUAUCAGUACACCAAAGAUUUAGUUCAGAAAAAAAAAGAAGUAAAAUAUCUCAUUGACAAUUUUUGCAUUGAUUACCUAUUGAAAGAAUAAUACUUUGGAUUAGGUUAAAUAAAACAGAUUAAAAUUAAUUUCACCUGUUUCUUUUAACUUUUUAAAUGUGGGGAUGCCUGAGUGGCUCAGCGGUUGAGCAUCUGCCUUUGGCUCAGGGCGUGAUCCCGGGGUCCUGGGAUCGAGUCCCACAUCGGGCUCCCCACAGGGAGCCUGCUUCUCCCUCUGCCUGUGUCUCUGCCUCUCUCUCUCUGUGUCUCUCGUGAAUAAAUAAACAAAAUCUCUAAAAAAUAAUAAUAAAUAACUUUUUAAGUGUGGCUCCUAGAAAAUUUAAAAUGACAUUUGUGGCUUGGACCAUAUUACUGUUGACCUGGGCUGUUCAGGGCAAAUCCC
This 1333-nucleotide long non-coding RNA is filed under the name Canis lupus familiaris (dog). RNAcentral's name for it is "lncRNA (ENSCAFG00000055319.1, ENSCAFG00805010465.1, ENSCAFG00845006456.1)". Lineage: Eukaryota; Metazoa; Chordata; Mammalia; Carnivora; Canidae. The record is from RNAcentral.